RNAcentral lists this ribosomal RNA (506 nucleotides) under uncultured bacterium. RNAcentral's name for it is "partial 16S ribosomal RNA". It matches the Rfam family "Bacterial small subunit ribosomal RNA", at positions 29 to 523 of the family's 1533-position model. The record is from RNAcentral.
AGUGAACGCUGGCGGUAGGCCUAACACAUGCAAGUCGAACGGCAGCACAGGAGAGCUUGCUCUCUGGGUGGCGAGUGGCGGACGGGUGAGGAAUACAUCGGAAUCUACUCUGUCGUGGGGGAUAACGUAGGGAAACUUACGCUAAUACCGCAUACGACCUACGGGUGAAAGCAGGGGACCUUCGGGCCUUGCGCGAUUGAAUGAGCCGAUGUCGGAUUAGCUAGUUGGCGGGGUAAAGGCCCACCAAGGCGACGAUCCGUAGCUGGUCUGGGAGGAUGAUCAGCCACACUGGAACUGAGACACGGUCCAGACUCGUACGGGAGGCAGCAGUGGGGAAUAUUGGACAAGGGGCGCAAGCCUGAUCCAGCCAUACCGCGUGGGUGAAGAAGGCGUUCGGGUUGUAAAGCCCUUUUGUUGGGAAAGAAAUCCAGCUGGCUAAUACCCGGUUGGGAUGACGGUACCCAAAGAAUAAGCACCGGCUAACUUCGUGCCAGCCGCCGCAGUAA